This 22-nucleotide microRNA is filed under the name Ananas comosus (pineapple). RNAcentral's name for it is "microRNA s0506_c67a". The record is from RNAcentral. Lineage: Eukaryota; Viridiplantae; Streptophyta; Magnoliopsida; Poales; Bromeliaceae.
CACUAAGUCUACAGAAGGGACC